UCUCCGUAGGUGAACCUGCGGAGGGAUCAUUACAGAGUUCAUGCCCUACCGGGUAGAUCUCCCACCCUAUGUGAUUAUUACUUUGUUGCUUUGGCGGGCCGUUAGGCUCCGGCCCGACUACCGGCCCCGGCUGGUAAGCGCCCGCCAGAGGACCCAAAACCCUGAAUAUUAGUGUCGUCUGAGUACUAUAUAAUAGUUAAAACUUUCAACAACGGAUCUCUUGGUUCUG
This 229-nucleotide unclassified non-coding RNA is filed under the name plant metagenome. RNAcentral describes it as "partial contains small subunit ribosomal RNA, internal transcribed spacer 1, and 5.8S ribosomal RNA". The record is from RNAcentral.